CUCCUUCCUCUCUCCCUCCUUGUCCCAUUUUCCCCCUCCUUCUCUCUCUUCUCUUUGUGUUUCGACCCCAUCGACGGAUCACUUUCUCUGACAGGUGACGGAUGGUGGAAGGCCAGGCUCCCUCUCUCUCACCCCUCCCCACUUCACUGGUCCCUUUGGUGGUGGAUCCGCCCUCUUCAGCACAGUAAAUAGUGGACUCGUCCUCCCUCUCUUCUCUUUGUGUUUGGGUCUCCUUCGACUGGAUGUGCGGUGGAUGGUGGACCCACCC
RNAcentral lists this long non-coding RNA (268 nucleotides) under Elaeis guineensis (African oil palm). RNAcentral's name for it is "long non-coding RNA (EGUI_LNC082450)". Lineage: Eukaryota; Viridiplantae; Streptophyta; Magnoliopsida; Arecales; Arecaceae. The record is from RNAcentral.